This 500-nucleotide ribosomal RNA is filed under the name uncultured bacterium. RNAcentral's name for it is "partial 16S ribosomal RNA". It matches the Rfam family "Bacterial small subunit ribosomal RNA", at positions 30 to 523 of the family's 1533-position model. The record is from RNAcentral.
AUUGAACGCUGGCGGAAUGCUUUACACAUGCAAGUCGAACGGCAGCACGGACUUCGGUCUGGUGGCGAGUGGCGAACGGGUGAGUAAUGUAUCGGAACGUGCCCAGUCGGGGGGGAUAACGUAGUGAAAAUUACGCUAAUACCGCAUACGAUCUAUGGAUGAAAGCGGGGGAUCGCAAGACCUCGCGCGAUUGGAGCGGCCGAUAUCAGAUUAGGGAGUUGGUGGGGUACAGGCCCACCAAGCCAACGAUCUGUAGCUGGUCUGAGAGGACGACCAGCCAAACUGGAACAGAGACACGGUCCAGACUCCUACGGGAGGCAGCAGUGGGGAAUUUUGGACAAUGGGCGAAAGCCUGAUUCAGCCAUUCCGCGUGCAGGAUGAAGGCCCUCGGGUUGUAAACUGCUUUUGUACAGAACGAAAAGGUUUCUACUAAUACUAGGAGCUCAUGACGGUACUGUAAGAAUAAGCACCGGCUAACUACGUGCCAGCCGCCGCCGUAA